This 422-nucleotide ribosomal RNA is filed under the name uncultured bacterium. Its description in RNAcentral is "bacterial SSU rRNA". It matches the Rfam family "Bacterial small subunit ribosomal RNA", at positions 355 to 775 of the family's 1533-position model. The record is from RNAcentral.
UAGGGAAUAUUGGUCAAUGGAUGGAAGUCUGAACCAGCCAUGCCGCGUGCAGGAAGAAGGCCUUCUGGGUUGUAAACUGCUUUUGCCAGGGGAUAAAAUGACCUUGCGAGGUUAAUUGAAGGUACCUGGUGAAUAAGCCACGGCUAACUACGUGCCAGCAGCCGCGGUAAUACGUAGGUGGCAAGCGUUGUCCGGAUUUAUUGGGUUUAAAGGGUGCGUAGGCGGCUUAUUAAGUCAGUGGUGAAAUACUCUAGCUCAACUAGAGGGGUGCCAUUGAUACUGAUGAGCUUGAGUACAGAUGAGGUAGGCGGAAUUGACGGUGUAGCGGUGAAAUGCUUAGAUAUCGUCAAGAACACCUAUAGCGAAGGCAGCUUACUAGGCUGUAACUGACGCUGAGGCACGAAAGUGUGGGGAUCAAACAG